AAAUUGAAGAGUUUGAUCAUGGCUCAGAUUGAACGCUGGCGGCAGGCCUAACACAUGCAAGUCGAACGGUAGCACAGAGAGCUUGCUCUCGGGUGACGAGUGGCGGACGGGUGAGUAAUGUCUGGGAAACUGCCUGAUGGAGGGGGAUAACUACUGGAAACGGUGGCUAAUACCGCAUAACGUCGCAAGACCAAAGAGGGGGACCUUCGGGCCUCUUGCCAUCAGAUGUGCCCAGAUGGGAUUAGCUUGUUGGUGAGGUAACGGCUCACCAAGGCGACGAUCCCUAGCUGGUCUGAGAGGAUGACCAGCCACACUGGAACUGAGACACGGUCCAGACUCCUACGGGAGGCAGCAGUGGGGAAUAUUGCACAAUGGGCGCAAGCCUGAUGCAGCCAUGCCGCGUGUAUGAAGAAGGCCUUCGGGUUGUAAAGUACUUUCAGCGGGGAG
RNAcentral lists this ribosomal RNA (447 nucleotides) under Salmonella enterica. RNAcentral describes it as "bacterial SSU rRNA". It matches the Rfam family "Bacterial small subunit ribosomal RNA", at positions 1 to 446 of the family's 1533-position model. The record is from RNAcentral. RNAcentral also lists the same sequence under 1 other name. Lineage: Bacteria; Pseudomonadati; Pseudomonadota; Gammaproteobacteria; Enterobacterales; Enterobacteriaceae.